Clarias gariepinus (North African catfish) is the source of this 742-nucleotide long non-coding RNA. RefSeq lists it as uncharacterized. The record is from RefSeq and is a predicted model, not a curated record. Lineage: Eukaryota; Metazoa; Chordata; Actinopteri; Siluriformes; Clariidae. The transcript has 5 exons.
GUAACCGCUAAAUUGUGAAGACUGUCCUUGUCAAACGGAGUAUGAGACGUGGCUUAAUUUGUGUUCUUGACUUUAGUUUCGUUGCACACCUUCAGGAAAGGCAGUUAAAGCCAACAACCCAGAAACUGUAUUUGCUGGAUGUAGUGGCUUUCCUGAAAUACAUCAUGAAUGUUUCACCACCAUCUGUCAGACUUGGGACUGAAGGGAUCAAUGCUCUCAUGGUGGAGUUGAGGGCUUGUCUAAGAUAUUGGGCGGGACGUAGUUGGACACCAGCUGAAAGUGCGCCGAUCAAAGUGCGAUAGACUUGUUGAUGCCGGAAAACACCAUUUGUUCAUUGAGGCGACUUCUGAAACUAUUGCUGCAGCACUUGAUUAAGACUAGACCAGCUCCACAUCUCCAACUGCAUACAUCAAUUGUUCCAGUGAUUCUGGUGACUCUAAAACUCCCAAGGAUCAAAGGAUCACAGUUCGAGGCCCUACUGGUGUAAGAGCACCCUAGCUCUUUGGCUUUUUUUUUUUUUUUAACCUCUCGAUGCAGGAUACCUUCGUAGGAACAGGAAGUGUCCUGGAAGGUCACUCGCAAAAUUCAUGGAACCAGUAAGGUGAAGAGGAUGAUAUUCUGUCAGCCAAGUCUCUUUGAAGCCACCUCACAAACAUCUGGAGCCCUGGGUGAAGUGGGAGGAGGAGUAAAGUUGAAGGAUGGGCAGAAGAAGCAGACAUAAAAGAGGCGGUUUUGAAGAAAA